Nematolebias whitei (Rio pearlfish) is the source of this 221-nucleotide long non-coding RNA. RefSeq lists it as uncharacterized. Lineage: Eukaryota; Metazoa; Chordata; Actinopteri; Cyprinodontiformes; Rivulidae. The transcript is spliced from 3 exons. The record is from RefSeq and is a predicted model, not a curated record.
CACCAGUCGCCACUACCGGGAACAUCGACGCCCACAAGGGGACACUUACAUUUAUGGCCACCGGAUUAGGCAUCGGAUCAACUGUGGUGAUCUUGACCUUUACUGUGCUCGCCAUCUUUUUAUUAUGGCGAAGGAAAACAACUCUGAUCCCACCACCGUCAGAACUGGAAAUACAACCAAUGAAUGGCGAAUUGGCAACGGUGCCUUAGUACCCGGGGACU